This 301-nucleotide ribosomal RNA is filed under the name uncultured bacterium. RNAcentral describes it as "partial 16S ribosomal RNA". It matches the Rfam family "Bacterial small subunit ribosomal RNA", at positions 509 to 807 of the family's 1533-position model. The record is from RNAcentral.
CAGCCGCCGCGGGAAUACGAAGGGGGCUAGCGUUGUUCGGAUUUACUGGGCGUAAAGCGCACGUAGGCGGACUUUUAAGUCAGAGGUGAAAUCCCGGGGCUCAACCCCGGAACUGCCUUUGAUACUGGAAGUCUUGAGUAUGGUAGAGGUGAGUGGAAUUCCGAGUGUAGAGGUGAAAUUCGUAGAUAUUCGGAGGAACACCAGUGGCGAAGGCGGCUCACUGGACCAUUACUGACGCUGAGGUGCGAAAGCGUGGGGAGCAAACAGGAUUAGAUACCCCGGUAGUCCCUGUCUCUUAUAC